GACGAACGCUGGCGGCGUGCUUAACACAUGCCAGUCGAACGGAAAGGCCCUGCUUUUGUGGGGUGCUCGAGUGGCGAACGGGUGAGUAACACGUGAGUAACCUGCCCUUGACUUUGGGAUAACUUCAGGAAACUGGGGCUAAUACCGGAUAGGAGCUCCUGCUGCAUGGUGGGGGUUGGAAAGUUUGGCGGUUGGGGAUGGACUCGCGGCUUAUCAGCUUGUUGGUGGGGUAGUGGCUUACCAAGGCUUUGACGGGUAGCCGGCCUGAGAGGGUGACCGGCCACAUUGGGACUGAGAUACGGCCCAGACUCCUACGGGAGGCAGCAGUGGGGAAUAUUGCACAAUGGGCGGAAGCCUGAUGCAGCAACGCCGCGUGCGGGAUGACGGCCUUCGGGUUGUAAACCGCUUUCGCCUGUGACGAAGCGUGAGUGACGGUAAUGGGUAAAGAAGCACCGGCUAACUACGUG
Molecule: ribosomal RNA, 467 nt
Filed under: uncultured bacterium
Lineage: Bacteria
Description: partial 16S ribosomal RNA
Rfam family: Bacterial small subunit ribosomal RNA
Source: RNAcentral